GGGUGUAUAGCUCAGUGGAUUAGAGCGUCCCGUUCACAUCGGGAAGGUCAUUGGUUCAAAUCCAAUUACGCCCA
RNAcentral lists this transfer RNA (74 nucleotides) under Elusimicrobiota bacterium. Its description in RNAcentral is "Elusimicrobia bacterium (hot springs metagenome) tRNA-Val". It matches the Rfam family "tRNA". From Rfam's summary of the family: Transfer RNA (tRNA) molecules are approximately 80 nucleotides in length. Their secondary structure includes four short double-helical elements and three loops (D, anti-codon, and T loops). Lineage: Bacteria; Pseudomonadati; Elusimicrobiota. The record is from RNAcentral.